Molecule: ribosomal RNA, 497 nt
Filed under: uncultured bacterium
Lineage: Bacteria
Description: partial 16S ribosomal RNA
Rfam family: Bacterial small subunit ribosomal RNA
Source: RNAcentral
GAUGAACGCUGGCGGCGUGCCUAAUACAUGCAAGUCGAGCGAACGGACGAGAAGCUUGCUUUUCUGAUGUUAGCGGCGGACGGGUGAGUAACACGUGGAUAACCUACCUAUAAGACUGGGAUAACUUCGGGAAACCGGAGCUAAUACCGGAUAAUAUUUUGAACCGCAUGGUUCAAAAGUGAAAGACGGUCUUGCUGUCACUUAUAGAUGGAUCCGCGCUGCAUUAGCUAGUUGGUAAGGUAACGGCUUACCAAGGCAACGAUGCAUAGCCGACCUGAGAGGGUGAUCGGCCACACUGGAACUGAGACACGGUCCAGACUCCUACGGGAGGCAGCAGUAGGGAAUCUUCCGGAAUGGGCGAAAGCCUGACGGAGCAACGCCGCGUGAGUGAUGAAGGUCUUCGGAUCGUAAAACUCUGUUAUUAGGGAAGAACAUAUGUGUAAGUAACUGUGCACAUCUUGACGGUACCUAAUCAGAAAGCCACGGCUAACUACGUG